GGCUCCAUGACUCAGGGGUUAGAGCACUGGCCUUGUAAACCAGGGGUCGCAAGUUCAAAUCUCACUGGGGCCU
Molecule: transfer RNA, 73 nt
Organism: Lepisosteus oculatus (spotted gar)
Lineage: Eukaryota; Metazoa; Chordata; Actinopteri; Semionotiformes; Lepisosteidae
Rfam family: tRNA
About the family: Transfer RNA (tRNA) molecules are approximately 80 nucleotides in length. Their secondary structure includes four short double-helical elements and three loops (D, anti-codon, and T loops).
Source: Rfam